RNAcentral lists this ribosomal RNA (524 nucleotides) under uncultured bacterium. Its description in RNAcentral is "partial 16S ribosomal RNA". It matches the Rfam family "Bacterial small subunit ribosomal RNA", at positions 28 to 523 of the family's 1533-position model. The record is from RNAcentral.
GAUGAACGCUGGCGGCGUGCCUAAUACAUGCAAGUCGAGCGCAGGAAGCCGUCUGAACCCUUCGGGGGGACGACGGUGGAAUGAGCGGCGGACGGGUGAGUAACACGUAAAGAACCUGCCCAUAGGUCUGGGAUAACCACGAGAAAUCGGGGCUAAUACCGGAUGUGUCAGCGGACCGCAUGGUCCGCUGAUGAAAGGCGCUCCGGCGUCGCCCAUGGAUGGCUUUGCGGUGCAUUAGCUAGUUGGUGGGGUAACGGCCCACCAAGGCGACGAUGCAUAGCCGACCUGAGAGGGUGAUCGGCCACACUGGGACUGAGACACGGCCCAGACUCCUACGGGAGGCAGCAGUAGGGAAUCUUCCACAAUGGACGAAAGUCUGAUGGAGCAACGCCGCGUGAACGAUGAAGGCUUUCGGGUCGUAAAGUUCUGUUGUAAGGGAAGAACAAGUGCCGCAGGCAAUGGCGGCACCUUGACGGUACCUUGCGAGAAAGCCACGGCUAACUACGUGCCAGCCGCCGCCGUAA